This 67-nucleotide transfer RNA is filed under the name Marmota monax (woodchuck). RNAcentral's name for it is "tRNA.Ala". The record is from RNAcentral. Lineage: Eukaryota; Metazoa; Chordata; Mammalia; Rodentia; Sciuridae.
GGUUAUGGCUCAGUGGUAGAACACUCGCCUCGCAUGUGCAAGGCCCUGAGUUCAAUCCUCAGCACCA